GACGAACGCUGGCGGCGUGCUUAACACAUGCAAGUCGAGCGCUGAAGCUCAGCUUUUGUUGGGUGGAUGAGUGGCGAACGGGUGAGUAACACGUGAGUAACCUGCCUCCUUCUUUGGGAUAACGCCCGGAAACGGGUGCUAAUACUGGAUAUUCACUGGUCUUCGCAUGGGGGUUGGUGGAAAGGGUUUUUCUGGUGGGGGAUGGGCUCGCGGCCUAUCAGCUUGUUGGUGGGGUGAUGGCCUACCAAGGCUUUGACGGGUAGCCGGCCUGAGAGGGUGACCGGUCACAUUGGGACUGAGAUACGGCCCAGACUCCUACGGGAGGCAGCAGUGGGGAAUAUUGCACAAUGGGCGCAAGCCUGAUGCAGCGACGCCGCGUGAGGGAUGGAGGCCUUCGGGUUGUGAACCUCUUUCGCUCAUGGUCAAGCCGCAACAAUGGUUGUGGUGAGGGUAGUGGGUAAAGAAGCGCCGGCUAACUACGUG
Molecule: ribosomal RNA, 483 nt
Filed under: uncultured bacterium
Lineage: Bacteria
Description: partial 16S ribosomal RNA
Rfam family: Bacterial small subunit ribosomal RNA
Source: RNAcentral